RNAcentral lists this ribosomal RNA (494 nucleotides) under uncultured Lachnospiraceae bacterium. RNAcentral describes it as "bacterial SSU rRNA". It matches the Rfam family "Bacterial small subunit ribosomal RNA", at positions 16 to 507 of the family's 1533-position model. Lineage: Bacteria; Bacillati; Bacillota; Clostridia; Lachnospirales; Lachnospiraceae. The record is from RNAcentral.
UACCUGGCUCAGGAUGAACGCUGGCGGCGUGCCUAACACAUGCAAGUCGAACGGAGAUAUUGCUUGGAAGCUUUUCGAGGUGAAAGAGAACUAUCUUAGUGGCGGACGGGUGAGUAACGCGUGGGCAACCUGCCUCAUACAGGGGGAUAGCAUCGGGAAACUGGUGGUAAAACCGCAUAAGCGCACGAGGACGCAUGUUUUUGUGUGAAAAGGAGAAAUCUGGUAUGAGAUGGACCCGCGUCUGAUUAGCUAGUUGGAGUGGUAAAAGCACACCAAGGCAACGAUCAGUAGCCGGCCUGAGAGGGUGGACGGCCACAUUGGGACUGAGACACGGCCCAGACUCCUACGGGAGGCAGCAGUGGGGAAUAUUGCACAAUGGAGGGGACUCUGAUGCAGCGACGCCGCGUGAGUGAAGAAGUAAUUCGUUAUGUAAAGCUCUAUCAGCAGGGAAGAAAGUGACGGUACCUGAAAAAGAAGCUCCGGCUAAAUACGUG